RNAcentral lists this ribosomal RNA (480 nucleotides) under uncultured bacterium. RNAcentral describes it as "partial 16S ribosomal RNA". It matches the Rfam family "Bacterial small subunit ribosomal RNA", at positions 28 to 507 of the family's 1533-position model. The record is from RNAcentral.
GACGAACGCUGGCGGCGUGCUUAACACAUGCAAGUCGAACGAUGAAGAAAAGAAUUGAAGCUUCGGCAGAAAUUCAUUUCGGAUUAGUGGCAGACGGGUGAGUAACGCGUGAGCAACCUACCUCUUACAAAGGGAUAGCCUCGGGAAACCGGGAUUAAUACCAUAUAACAUUGCGACGAAGCAUUUCGAUGCAAUCAAAGCUACGGCGGUAAGAGAUGGGCUCGCGUCCCAUUAACCAGAUGGUGAGGUAACGGCUCACCAUAGUAACGAUGGGUAACCGGCCUGAGAGGGUGAACGGUCACACUGGAACUGAGACACGGUCCAGACUCCUACGGGAGGCAGCAGUGGGGAAUAUUACACAAUGGAGGGAACUCUGAUGCAGCGACGCCGCGUGAGUGAUGAAGGAAUUCGUUUCGUAAAACUCUGUUCUAUGGGAAGAAAAGGACUGUACCAUAGGAGAAAGCUCCGGCUAAAUACGUG